GCGGGCGUGAUGGAAUUGGUAGACAUACCAGACUUAAAAUCUGUUGGCCGAAUGGCCGUGCGGGUUCGAGUCCCGCCGCCCGCACCA
Molecule: transfer RNA, 87 nt
Filed under: Paracoccaceae bacterium
Lineage: Bacteria; Pseudomonadati; Pseudomonadota; Alphaproteobacteria; Rhodobacterales; Paracoccaceae
Description: tRNA-Leu(taa)
Rfam family: tRNA
About the family: Transfer RNA (tRNA) molecules are approximately 80 nucleotides in length. Their secondary structure includes four short double-helical elements and three loops (D, anti-codon, and T loops). Further hydrogen bonds mediate the characteristic L-shaped molecular structure. tRNAs have two regions of fundamental functional importance: the anti-codon, which is responsible for specific mRNA codon recognition, and the 3' end, to which the tRNAs corresponding amino acid is attached (by aminoacyl-tRNA synthetases). tRNAs cope with the degeneracy of the genetic code in two manners: having more than one tRNA (with a specific anti-codon) for a particular amino acid; and 'wobble' base-pairing, i.e. permitting non-standard base-pairing at the 3rd anti-codon position.
Source: RNAcentral